AUGGCAAGAGCAAUUGUAAUGAUAUUACUCAUGGCCAUUGUGCUUGUUGCCACUACGCCGACGACACACGCCAUGGACAUCACAAAUAGUGAUUUGGCAUCUGAGGAGUCCCUAUGGGCACUAUACGAGCGAUGGUGCAAGCGUCACAAUGUGGGACGCGACCUCAGCGACAAGGCCCGGCGCUUCAAAGUGUUCAAGGAGAACACUCGCAUUAUCCAUGAAUUCAACCAAGGUGACGCACCCUACAAGCUGAGCCUCAACCUCUUCGGUGACAUGACUGAUGAAGAGGUCGACCACAUGUACGGUCGCUGCUCCAACAUUAGGCCGGACAGCGGGAAGCGGAGGCAAGACCAGUUCACACACGGAGUUGUUGUCGCGCGUGACAACUUACCAAUGUAUGUGGACUGGCGCAUGACAGGCUAUGACCAACGCCCGUCGGCGGUGACAAGCGUGAAGAUACAAGGAGAUUGUGGGGGCUUGUUGGGCUUUUGCGGCGGCAGCAGCAGUGGAGGGCAUCAACUCCAUCAAGACGAGGAACCUGGUGUCAUUGUCUGCACAACAGCUCAUAGACUGCGACGAGGGAAGUACUGGUUGUGUUGGCGGCGGCGCACUAGUAGCCUUAAAGUUCAUUUAUAA
Molecule: ribosomal RNA, 636 nt
Filed under: Triticum aestivum (bread wheat)
Lineage: Eukaryota; Viridiplantae; Streptophyta; Magnoliopsida; Poales; Poaceae
Description: partial small subunit ribosomal RNA
Source: RNAcentral